GCGGAAGUAGUUCAGUGGUAGAACAUCACCUUGCCAUGGUGGGGGGUCGCGGGUUCGAAUCCCGUCUUCCGCU
Molecule: transfer RNA, 73 nt
Filed under: Lactobacillus acidophilus
Lineage: Bacteria; Bacillati; Bacillota; Bacilli; Lactobacillales; Lactobacillaceae
Also listed under: 1 other name
Description: tRNA-Gly
Rfam family: tRNA
About the family: Transfer RNA (tRNA) molecules are approximately 80 nucleotides in length. Their secondary structure includes four short double-helical elements and three loops (D, anti-codon, and T loops). Further hydrogen bonds mediate the characteristic L-shaped molecular structure. tRNAs have two regions of fundamental functional importance: the anti-codon, which is responsible for specific mRNA codon recognition, and the 3' end, to which the tRNAs corresponding amino acid is attached (by aminoacyl-tRNA synthetases). tRNAs cope with the degeneracy of the genetic code in two manners: having more than one tRNA (with a specific anti-codon) for a particular amino acid; and 'wobble' base-pairing, i.e. permitting non-standard base-pairing at the 3rd anti-codon position.
Source: RNAcentral